Molecule: long non-coding RNA, 1554 nt
Organism: Coturnix japonica (Japanese quail)
Lineage: Eukaryota; Metazoa; Chordata; Aves; Galliformes; Phasianidae
Source: Ensembl
CAUCCUCUGGUGCAGCCUUUGCUUUUUCCCAUUGCAUUCAAUCUCAUCAUUGAAAUGGGUUUGUAUGUGGGUCCAUCUGGUUCCUUCCUGCAGUACUCUGGAGGGUGCUGUGUACACAACUGCGGUGCUGGGCACAGUGUUUGCUGGGUGAUACCUCUGGGUGCAAGCUGGGGUAGGAAGGAACAUAAAGUACCACAGUGUCUCCAUGUUGGGCAUGGGGAUGUCUCUCUCAGCCACAUGUUGUAAUACACCACUAGGGCUUGGGAUGCAGUGGUGUUCUCAUCUGCUACCUGAGCCACUGUCAUGGAAGCGAGGAGUUGGUGGUGCAGUUGCCAGCAGCAAUGCCAACUCUUCCCCCAUGGAUACCAGUGCAUCAGCCCAGCAUGGAGUGUUUCAGCUCAGCAGCAUUGUGCGUUUCCCCACACAGUGGCAGGUGAUACCAAAGGUGGUGACCCCAGGCUGGCAGCACUGCUGUUGCUUCACCCCAUCACACCUUAAACAACCCGAGUGCAAUUAAUCACCGUUUGCUUCUCUGUGUUUGCAUGGGAUUCCUUAUCCGCAGUAAAUCCUGGGGGGAACAGAUGCAAUUAUGAAAGAAACACCUAUUAAAAAGAACUGUAUUUGCCAUAAAAAAUGUCAGGACAGUUGUCCUUUAGCUGUUUGCAGCGUUGCCAGCUGCAGUAUAUGAUCCUGGUUUCCAGCCAGGCUGUGGGGAGCAGGAUGGGAGAGGAAGGGGCAGCACACAGCUGGAAACCAGAGAAGGGAUCAAUGAUUUGCUGUCAAGCAAAAGGAUGGAUCGAGCAACUUUCUGCAGGAAUCUGCCCUUGGUCUAAUAGGAGUCAGUGUUUUCCCUAACGAUCCGAAUGAUGGAAUAUUCACUGCUACCUCCACAGAGGGCUGAGAUGGGAAUAAGUGCUGCAGUUGCAAGAGAAGGAGACUUCUCAUGGCCUGGCAAGAAGGACAGCUCAUGCUGAGUGCUCUGCUGGGGGCUGGGGGGGCCCCAUUGAGUCACAGAAUUACAAAUGUCGGUAAGAUCUCUAAGAUCAGUGAGUCCAACCACCAGCCCAUCCCACCACGUCCCUCAGUGCCACAUCUACACACUUCUUGAAUGCUGCUGGGGGUGGUGAUUCCUCUGCUGGGCAGCCUGUGCUGGUGCAUAUCCAUUGGAAGGGAUGAAGAAGAGCUUGCAGAAAUCUCUCUGGAGGGAUGGAGCUCACUCAGCAAGGCAGGGCCAACCCCCAGCUUCUUCCAUCCUCAACUUCUGUGAGCCCACCUUGUUCCAAAAGCAGCAUUUCAUCUCCUCUGAUUUCUAGGGAAAGGUACCUUAUAACUUUGGAAGCGAAACCUGGUGCCUUUAUCUCAAACGCUUCAGGAGACAUUAACCCAGCUCUCCCAACACAGGGCAGGAAGGGGGGAGCCUGCAAACACAGCCAGAGCGGGCUCAGGUUUGAGCAGCCUGGCUGCCAUGGAAAAGCAUUGGGCUUCUGAACACAGGGAGUGUGAGCAAUGUUAUUGGUAUGAAAUGAGGAUAAAUAAAUAAAAAAAGUCCAUCCA